Molecule: ribosomal RNA, 96 nt
Filed under: Heterocephalus glaber (naked mole-rat)
Lineage: Eukaryota; Metazoa; Chordata; Mammalia; Rodentia; Bathyergidae
Source: RNAcentral
GUCUACGGCCAUACCACCCUGAAUGUGCCUGAUCUCGUCUGAUCUGAAGCUAAGCAGGGUCUGGCCUGGUUAGUACUUGAAUGGGAGCUAUAAACU